UCUCAGUUCAUACGGUGAUUCUUUCCCAUGCUGACACAUCUGUUUUCUGGAGGAGACCGGCCUUCUCGCAUCGGUCGCCUCUGGAUAGGGUUUGUCGCUGCCGGGCCGGGCCUCUGGUCGCCGUCGCAGCCACUGCGGCCACCGGCCGUGCACCCUCGCGUCACUACCCACGCCCUUCUUCCACCUCUGCUUGGGCAAGGGGAUCAUCUGUGCGCACUCCUCUUGCCGUUCGUGCAGCCCGCAUCGUCGUCGGCAUGGCGCCCCACAAGGUCGUCGGACUCCAAACGGUGCCGCAAGUGUGAGUCCAUGGCCUCCCCCGUGCCAAGGCUGCUCUCCAAGCCUUGCAUCUCCAACCAGGUCAGCCUGGUGUACGCGUUUGUGGGCACCUCGCCACCAUCACAUGUAUGCACACUACACCUCGGAAGGCAUGGAUGGCAGCUCAUUUCGAACUUUUUCACUCAAUCCGUUCCAAGCUCUGGAUAUAGGUUCAGAUGUGGUUUCAGAACAGGUGAACAAUACCUGGCGAAGUGAUUGUGUUUCAGAUUUAAAAAAAAGGUGAUUGGGUUUGAGUAGCAAUUGUGGAGCUGGCGGCCCAUAUGAAGUGCUUCAUGGACACUUUGGUGUAGAUUUCAAUUUGGGAAUAUGUAUAAUAUUAUGUGUACUCAACUAGACUGCUAUUCAACAAUUAUUUCUUUUUCUUUGCAAUAUGAUUCACUUUUUACUGAUCUCUCUAAACAUUUAUGUUCAGUAGCAAUUGUGGAGCUAGCAGUUCAGAUUAAGUGCUUCAUGAAGACGUUGUUCUAGUUUUCAGUUUGGGAAUGUGUAUAAAUAUCCUGUGUACCGAA
RNA transcript from Hordeum vulgare subsp. vulgare (domesticated barley), 845 nucleotides. RefSeq lists it as uncharacterized. The transcript is spliced from 3 exons. NCBI's taxonomy places the organism in Eukaryota, Viridiplantae, Streptophyta, Magnoliopsida, Poales, Poaceae. The record is from RefSeq and is a predicted model, not a curated record.